Molecule: long non-coding RNA, 239 nt
Filed under: Capsicum annuum
Lineage: Eukaryota; Viridiplantae; Streptophyta; Magnoliopsida; Solanales; Solanaceae
Description: long non-coding RNA (CANN_LNC014084)
Source: RNAcentral
UAGUUUGGUAUCAAAGCCUUAUCAUGGGUAAAAGAUCAGAUGUCUAGAAGAUUUCCAUAGAUCGAUAUUGUAACGCCCUGAGUCUAUACGCCGGAUGCUACACGGUGCUCGUAAUCUCAAAGGACCACUAGAUAACCCAUGACCGGUACCUUUUACAAUAACUGCAUAAUAAAUAUUAUAAUGCUUGCAGAAAUAGGAGGAAAAAUAUGUCAUAAGGUUCAAAUCUGUAAAUAAAUUUG